UAGGGAAUCUUCGGCAAUGGGGGCAACCCUGACCGAGCAACGCCGCGUGAGUGAAGAAGGUUUUCGGAUCGUAAAGCUCUGUUGUAAGAGAAGAACGUGUGUGAGAGUGGAAAGUUCACACAGUGACGGUAACUUACCAGAAAGGGACGGCUAACUACGUGCCAGCAGCCGCGGUAAUACGUAGGUCCCGAGCGUUGUCCGGAUUUAUUGGGCGUAAAGCGAGCGCAGGCGGUUUAAUAAGUCUGAAGUUAAAGGCAGUGGCUUAACCAUUGUUCGCUUUGGAAACUGUUAAACUUGAGUGCAGAAGGGGAGAGUGGAAUUCCAUGUGUAGCGGUGAAAUGCGUAGAUAUAUGGAGGUAGACCGGUGGCGAAAGCGGCUCUCUGGUCUGUAACUGACGCUGAGGCUCGAAAGCGUGGGGAGCAAACAGG
This 429-nucleotide ribosomal RNA is filed under the name bacterium. RNAcentral's name for it is "partial 16S ribosomal RNA". It matches the Rfam family "Bacterial small subunit ribosomal RNA", at positions 355 to 776 of the family's 1533-position model. The record is from RNAcentral.